UGGGGAAUAUUGGACAAUGGGGGCAACCCUGAUCCAGCCAUGCCGCGUGAGUGAUGAAGGCCUUCGGGUUGUAAAGCUCUUUUGGCGGGGACGAUGAUGACGGUACCCGCAGAAUAAGCCCCGGCUAACUUCGUGCCAGCAGCCGCGGUAAGACGAAGGGGGCUAGCGUUGUUCGGAAUUACUGGGCGUAAAGCGCGUGUAGGCGGUUGCCAAAGUCGGGUGUGAAAGCCUUGAGAUCAACUGAAGAAUAGCACUCGAUACUUGGUGGCUAGAGGACCGGAGAGGAUAGUGGAAUUCCAAGUGUAGUGGUGAAAUACGUAGAGAUUGGGAAGAACACCAGUGGCGAAGGCGGCUAUCUGGACGGUUACUGACGCUAAGACGCGAAAGCGUGGGGAGCAAACA
RNAcentral lists this ribosomal RNA (402 nucleotides) under uncultured bacterium. RNAcentral's name for it is "bacterial SSU rRNA". It matches the Rfam family "Bacterial small subunit ribosomal RNA", at positions 355 to 774 of the family's 1533-position model. The record is from RNAcentral.